This 434-nucleotide ribosomal RNA is filed under the name uncultured bacterium. Its description in RNAcentral is "partial 16S ribosomal RNA". It matches the Rfam family "Bacterial small subunit ribosomal RNA", at positions 29 to 507 of the family's 1533-position model. The record is from RNAcentral.
AGCGAACGCUGGCGGCAGGCCUAACACAUGCAAGUCGAACGAACCUUUCGGGGUUAGUGGCGGACGGGUGAGUAACACGUGGGAACGUGCCUUUAGGUUCGGAAUAACUCAGGGAAACUUGUGCUAAUACCGAAUGUGCCCUUCGGGGGAAAGAUUUAUCGCCUUUAGAGCGGCCCGCGUCUGAUUAGCUAGUUGGUUGAGGUAAUGGCCCACCCAGGCGACGAUCAGUAGCUGGUCUGAGAGGAUGAUCAGCCACAUUGGGACUGAGACACGGCCCAAACUCCUACGGGAGGCAGCAGUGGGGAAUCUUGCGCAAUGGGCGAAAGCCUGACGCAGCCAUGCCGCGUGAAUGAUGAAGGUCUUAGGAUUGUAAAAUUCUUUCACCGGGGACGAUAAUGACGGUACCCGGAGAAGAAGCCCCGGCUAACUUCGUG